Molecule: ribosomal RNA, 464 nt
Filed under: uncultured bacterium
Lineage: Bacteria
Description: partial 16S ribosomal RNA
Rfam family: Bacterial small subunit ribosomal RNA
Source: RNAcentral
GACGAACGCUGGCGGCGUGCUUAACACAUGCAAGUCGAACGGAAAGGCCCUGCUUGCAGGGUACUCGAGUGGCGAACGGGUGAGUAACACGUGGGUGAUCUGCCCUGCACUUCGGGAUAAGCCUGGGAAACUGGGUCUAAUACCGGGUAGGAGCCAUUUUUAGUGUGAUGGUUGGAAAGUUUUUUCGGUGUAGGAUGAGCUCGCGGCCUAUCAGCUUGUUGGUGGGGUAAUGGCCUACCAAGGCGGCGACGGGUAGCCGGCCUGAGAGGGUGGACGGCCACAUUGGGACUGAGAUACGGCCCAGACUCCUACGGGAGGCAGCAGUGGGGAAUAUUGCACAAUGGGCGCAAGCCUGAUGCAGCGACGCCGCGUGGGGGAUGACGGCCUUCGGGUUGUAAACUCCUUUCGCUAGGGACGAAGCUUUUGGUGACGGUACCGAGAUAAGAAGCACCGGCUAACUACGU